UAUAACGUCAAUACUGAGUAUAAAAAAUGGUAUCCUGCCUUGCUCCGUCUUCUUUACACGAAUACAAUACAGCCCAAUCCCUCACAGUCCCGGCCAAAAAAAAAAAUCUAUUACAUCAUUUAUUUACUCGCGAACCUUCACUUCAAAGGAUCCAAGUCUCCCCAGUCCAACGCUCCUGUUCCUCCUGAGCUCUUCUCCCAGACAGGUUUGGGCGCCGCAGUCGGCUGCAUAACACCCCUAGACCAACCCGGUGGUGGGGAGACUACCGACUGUGGAGCAAGUGGCGGUGCCAGUGCUGCCGGAGUCUGCAGCUGCGGUUGUUGAUGUUGUUGCUGUGGAGCUAGAGUUGGCGCAAGUGCUGGUUGCGAGAAGGAAGAAGGUUGUGGUAUUUGAGGGGACAUGAACGACAACGGUGAGGAUUGAUGUUGAGAUUGGGACUGGGCAGGUGAUUGGGGGGUCAAGGAUAUAUUAUAAUUCGGACCUGAUCCUAAUAAAGAAACAUUCGAAGUAUAUGACGGAGCUCGACUUGGUUGAGGUUGAAUCUGAGGUUGGAGGGGCGAGAAAGACGAUGUGGUAGGUCGUAGAGGAGGUAACCCCGCCGAUGUGGGCGUCAACACGUUACUACCCGAAGAAGUGGAAGACCCAAACGCCGCCGAAUUGAAUGAGGAAGCAGAUAUAGGCCUGGCCUUCAACUUGGCCGAGGCGGCGGGAGUAGUGGUCGAUGUGCUCGGUUUGAGUGACGUACCAGUUGUAUUUACCGAUAAAGGCCUAGGCGAUACAGAAGCUGGCGUAGUGAUAGGGAACGAGUUGCCUGUAUUGUUAACACUCACGCUCAAACCGGGGAAAGCAGAUGCUAAUCCACCACCAUCGUUAUUUGCCAUUGCCGUUGAUGGGGUAUCGUUCAACCAGCCUUCAUCGUCCCACGGGUCCGUGACGCCUGUCACUCCGGCUGUAGGCACCACCGACCCAUAAGAUCCCAUUCCUGAGGCCUUCCCUCUGACAAGAGCUUCAAAGUCGACGUCCCCACCACCAUUCCCGUUACUCUGUCCAAGGCCACCGAAGGAACCAUCAUUUAGCGCAGCAGUAUUGGCAGCUGCCAAGCUGGCUGUUUGCGCUUCAAUGCGACGGACAUCUCGGAGAUGUUGAGUGUGUUCUGCUUCAACACGGGCGCCUAGGGUUUUGAUUAUGCUAUUGAGACCAAAGUAAUAAUGUCAUACUAUCGCGAUACGCAUUAAUAAUUGGACCAAGAAAUCCAAAUAGGUACUUACAGGGGCCCAUAGACAUGGACCAAAGUUGAGGCAGUACAAGAGUUGCAGUCGCUUCUCGAUCAACUUUGGCGCCCAUAGCUUCGUGCACCGCCAGCGUGGCCAUCUGUAUUCGUUCGCUUAGCUCAUUUUGCCUUUUCAUGAAGAGAAAAAAGACAAUAAAUCUACCAUGACAGCAGGUUCUUUUGUCUUGAUUUUGGCCAAAAGCGGUACCAACUUGCUCGUCAAAGUCGCCUUAUCCAAUGUGCCCACCAUUGCUCUAAAACAAUCCAAUGUCUGGACUUUAACACUCAAUAUUCUUGUCCGCGUAAAUACAAUCGCAACUUUGACAAGGAGCACGUUUUGUACGGUGCCGUAAUCGAGAAUUUCACAUAGAUGGGGGAUAGUUUUCAAGACGCGUUCUUGUACGGGGAAGUGCUCGCUUUCGAGUGAAUUGUAGAUGAGGGGCAUGACGUUUUCGCGGAAUACUUGAGGGGUUGUCUUUUCUUCAAAAAGGCCAAGGUGCUCCAGUAAUGCUAUUUGUAAAAUUGUUAGCCUUCUCAAUUGCUUUCAUCUAUGGGAU
Molecule: small RNA, 1827 nt
Filed under: Cryptococcus neoformans H99
Lineage: Eukaryota; Fungi; Basidiomycota; Tremellomycetes; Tremellales; Cryptococcaceae
Description: Cryptococcus neoformans var. grubii H99 hypothetical RNA
Source: RNAcentral